Molecule: ribosomal RNA, 492 nt
Filed under: uncultured bacterium
Lineage: Bacteria
Description: partial 16S ribosomal RNA
Rfam family: Bacterial small subunit ribosomal RNA
Source: RNAcentral
AUUGAACGCUGGCGGCAUGCUUUACACAUGCAAGUCGAACGGUAACAGGCCUUCGGGUGCUGACGAGUGGCGAACGGGUGAGUAAUGCAUCGGAACGUACCCAGAGGUGGGGGAUAACGCAGCGAAAGCUGGGCUAAUACCGCAUGUGAUCGAAGGAUGAAAGCGGGGGACCGAGAAGAAAAGUUUGGCCUCGCGCCUUUGGAGCGGCGGAUGUCGGAUUAGCUGGUUGGGGGGGUAAAGGCCUACCAAGGCGACGAUCCGUAGCUGGUCUGAGAGGACGACCAGCCACACUGGGACUGAGACACGGCCCAGACUCCUACGGGAAGCAGCAGUGGGGAAUUUUGGACAAUGGGCGCAAGCCUGAUCCAACAAUGCCGCGUGCGGGAAGAAGGCCUUCGGGUUGUAAACCGCUUUUGGCAGGAACGAAACGGUGUCCGCUAAUACCGGGCGCUAAUGACGGUACCUGCAGAAUAAGCACCGGCUAACUACGUG